Molecule: ribosomal RNA, 483 nt
Filed under: uncultured bacterium
Lineage: Bacteria
Description: partial 16S ribosomal RNA
Rfam family: Bacterial small subunit ribosomal RNA
Source: RNAcentral
GACGAACGCUGGCGGCGUGCUUAACACAUGCAAGUCGAACGCUGAAGCUCAGCUUUUGUUGGGUGGAUGAGUGGCGAACGGGUGAGUAACACGUGAGUAACCUGCCCCCUUCUUUGGGAUAACGCCCGGAAACGGGUGCUAAUACUGGAUAUUCACUGGUCUUCGCAUGGGGGUUGGUGGAAAGGGUUUUUCUGGUGGGGGAUGGGCUCGCGGCCUAUCAGCUUGUUGGUGGGGUGAUGGCCUACCAAGGCUUUGACGGGUAGCCGGCCUGAGAGGGUGACCGGGCACAUUGGGACUGAGAUACGGCCCAGACUCCUACGGGGGGCAGCAGUGGGGAAUAUUGCACAAUGGGCGCAAGCCUGAUGCAGCGACGCCGCGUGAGGGAUGGAGGCCUUCGGGUUGUGAACCUCUUUCGCUCAUGGUCAAGCCGCAACAAUGGUUGUGGUGAGGGUAGUGGGUAAAGAAGCGCCGGCUAACUACGUG